GCUAUUAUGCUCACUGUUCGAUCGGCUUUGAUUCCCGACAUGGUAAUUUCUAGGACAACAAUAGCACCCAAGAUGCAGUCGUUGAAGAAGACAGAGCUACACAGUACACACCCACACAUCUACACGUAUGCGCACAAACAGAUAGAAACUGGUUUUGAGGAUUGGUGAUAAGCUUUCUGUAACACCAUAAGGCAACGAUAUGAGACACACACGACAGUGAUGCUUGCUAAGCUAAAUAACGACGCUUCGCCUCGCCCGGAUAACAAGACAUUGAAUUUAAAAACGUUAUAUACAGCUAUAUACUGGACACCCGUGAUUGUAAAAACCUGGAUGGAAUAUCAACAAACAGACAACCGGUCAACGGACAAUGCACUUGGAUUGUAUUAGUUAUUGAGAUAUCUGAUAACAGGAUAUGCAAUAGUACAGAAGAUAGCUUAUACUUUCAUAAUCGCUUUACUAGUCGAUGAAACUAUCUCUUCCAAUUUUCAUUUUUUACAUUGGAGCAGACAUGCCGAACAGAUAUAACCACAUUUAACCACAUAAUAUAUCAUUGGUGAUUUUAUGAAUGAACAAAUACACCAUAGACGGGAUAUAUACAUGUACAGCUCAUACACAAGCCCAUUGAUAACCACUAGUGCUGCAUGGUAACCUGUCUAUGGAUACUAUCCACCUGUAUGAUUGGGACGUUUUGACCGUUGAUAUCAUCAACACGUGUGUCGCUUGUAAUUUAGGAAUGCGAGAUAAAACUUUUCAAAUCCGCCUGGUUGUCUAUUACGCUUGCAAUAAACACUGAUAUUAUCAACAUCAUGGCAUAUAUACAUAAUUUAAUGUAUUACAACCGAUCGAUUUAAAUUUGGUAUAACAAUUUUACUAACGCAAAUUAGUUUUCGCUGCAUUUCAUUAAUUCCGUGGAUGUUGCUGAUGUACAGUGCUGAUGGCACACAUACUACAAUAUAUUCUGCUCAAAUAUGGUCAUGACCAUUUUCAGAUAUGUGAUCAAUGCCAAUAGGAAGUCACUUUCCAUUUGGCCUUUAAAUAUCGGAGAUUUAUUCAAGUAGGAUGCUUAACAUUUUUCCUUUUCGAUAUCAUACGAUAUGUACAGGCCAGCUGUAAUAGAAAAACAUAUUCAUAUUUAAGUUUCCUUAUCAUUGACCCCUAGGACCAGAAAACUGCAAUCGGCAAACAGUGUAUGUCUGAACCCGUAAUGGAUAUUAUACUUUAACAUUGUGAGAGGGAAUCUUUUCAUCGGCAAUCGUACACUGUUAGUCUUGACAACGCCAGUAAAGCUUUGUAUAUCUAUGAACUCAGCAUAUGGAUAUUACCAUACGUACACUGUGACGGAAAAGUUGUUCUGUCGACAUACAGAGAUGUCAGGCAGUCAGUAAAGUCGUUCGUAGUAGUAGCCGUGCACACAGUAGCGAGGUAUCAGCGCAUUGUUUCUCCUCUCGCUAUAUGAUGGUGGUUCAGUCUCCCAAAUGCCUUCGCUUACGUCAUAAGUUGCCAGAGUUAUACCCAUCGCUAUGGUGAAGUCUGCUGUCUCGGAGCAGACGCUUGUACGACUCGCUGUACAGAUAUUCGUCUUCGUGUUAUUAUCUUUGAUAGAUUCAAGCUAAUGUGUUCAGUUUGGUUCUUGCAGUAAGGCGAAGGGAAUCAUUGGAGAAGGAUUCGCCUGGAUGAGAAUUGUUCUUCCUAACGUAAUUCAACGAAUGUGAAACAUCAUUAGAAAUCAAUGAUCUGAUAAGAAUUUUUGAUUUUAGUACCUAUAACGAAUUCGUGUUAAAAUAUCUGUGCGACAUCAAUUUAGGAGUAGAUAACACCUAUAUUGCAGCAACCGUCAGUGUGGUGACGAUUUAUCAUUUUGUUGUGUACGUGUGUUGGACGCUAUAACUUAUUAUUCCGUCAACAGGAGAUUAAAGUCGGAACCUGCAAGUUGACAACGGGCAUUCAUGCGUAUCUGUCUUAAAUGUGAGGUGCUCUACUUCGGUUUACUUUAGGACCAAGACGUAAAAAGCCACUUGGAGACAUUAUUCUUGGACCACCCACGUAGUUUACCAAUUAAUUAGGUUCGACAGUACGACCGUAAAUACACUGGAAAUCCAAGAGGAACAUGGUUGUUGACUAGAAAGGUUAUACCAUCAGCAGUUAUUUGGAUCGAAAGUAAUAUGGCUUCAGCGCAAGUAAAGCCGAAAUCUCCUUAUGUAUAUACGUACUCAACAGAUUCUAUGAAGAUAACAGAUGACAGGAAGAAAAGUGGUUCUGUCAAAAUCGCAGAAGGGAGUAAAAAGGAAGAUGGAUCUAAAUCGAAGAGCGGACAAAAUAAAAAAGCAUGUAAUGUGCCGGAUACGAAUCUGCUCUUGGCGUGUUUAGUGACUGUAUGUUUCCAUCCUUUAUUUGGUGCAGUCGCCGCCUAUUUAUCUAUCUCCGCCGCCAGUGCGUAUAGAGACGGACGCCGGAAGGAAGGCGAGAUGCGCGCGUUUAUCUCCGUCAUUGUAAGUCUUGUUGGAAUUGUCUUCACAGUCGUUCUGGUGAUGACACUGGUCCUAUGGCUGACCAUAGGCGAUUAUAAACUACCUGUGGAAAGCUGAUGGCACGAACUCCGGUUUACGGCUACCCAAGGUCGAUAUUUGAAACAAACUAUCAAAGAUGGAUUUUGAUACUGUUCCGAGUUAACGCGGAGGGAGUGUGCGUCGGUCGGACUCGCAAUGGAGCCCAAACACUCUAUUUCGCGUCCAAGCUUUCACACGAAUGAAUGGACCAUGUGCAAACGUUUCGUAGAAGCAUAUCUGUAUGCAUGUUUGAACGGCACGUUACUGUCAAUUAUCAUCCGUCUCCAUAAGGCAGGGUCAACACAGUUGUGGAGACGUCAUCGAUUACAUUUUGCACAAGGACAUCGAACUGAAAGAAGAUCACUUUAUGAUGUUAUAUAGCAUUCUCCGUGAAUGUGUUAUAGCAUGCCAAAACAACGAAUGUGAACCAAUGGAAACAACUGAUAGUAAAAUCUCACCCACUCAAGGAGUUAAGUCGUUUAUUAUAUACUAUGUAUGUAUUGAUUUAACUCCAACUAAUUUAUCAUAAUACAUAAAUAACUAAUUAUCUAAAGGAUGAUAAAUAUGAUAUAACUAAGGAACGCACAUCCACUUGUUUCAAACUUAAAUUAAGAAACAGUAAAAUCAUUGUAAAUAUUUCAUCAGUAUGAAAGACGUGUAACCAUUAUUCGUACCAUGUGGCGACUAAAGAACAACGCUUUACAUAUGUAUUGAGCAACUGCUCAAGCACACUCUUAGAUACGUUGAUGAAGAAUUUGGGCAUUAAAGGGACAUUGUUAUCAUGUAAGUUUGCAAACAUCGCACGCUAUCGUUCCUUUCAUCAAGUGGAAUAAUGUUAGAUGUCUAGAGUGUGGCAUCAUGGUGUCUUAAGGUGCAGGCAGACCCAAAUCUGAAGUAGGAGUUUAAAGAUCCCUGUUCCACUGCUGGUAAUUCAAUAGAUAAUUAAACUGCGGUUUUGUUCAUAUAUUCAGUAGCCUCCUCUUAAUUUCGUUUUGAUAUAACUGUAGCGGUUUUGAACAAAUGCAUUGCCGUUGACUAGGUAGCUCACUUGAUUAGAGCGAUAGUAACAAGCAACAAUUUGAGGUCCAGAGUUCGAAUCCUGGUAUAGCCCCACAGACGUUUUGCUCUCAAAAUAACAUUGCUAUGUAUUGAUGAUUUCAUCUUUAUGAUGUUUUCCAAAAAGUUCCUCAGGGUGUUUUAUUUUCAUAAAUGUUUUAUCAAACUACAGUUAUGCCGCAAAAAAAAAAUCAAAAAUCAGAUCCAUUUUGGAUAGUUUUUUUGCAGUGGUACAAGGAUUCUUAAUAGUGAUAUAAAUCUCUGUCAUACGUGGCAGUUUACUCCCAGAACGUGGUUAAUAUGAGAAUUCUGAGACUACACUUUAUGUGAUAAAAUUAUAAACUGUUUUACAAACUACUGUAUUAUUUAAGUGUCCUGUGUAUGUCCAUGUGUCUAUGUCCUCAACUUGUGGUUGACAUCAUACAAUGGCGUGCUGCCAUCUCAUCAUAGGAGUAAGUAUCAAGUGUUUAUUAAUUCAAAACUAGAUUAAAAAGCUUACUUGGUUUUGUGAAACGAGAUUAUUUGCACUCAUAUACAGUUCAAAUGUUACAGUUUCUAAUCAGCCCACAUGCACUUGGAUAAUCUGAUUUUAAUAACGGUUCAGUAUAUAUACGUUAGGGCUAUGUACAUACUAAUAGAAGUGAAAAGAAAUAGUUCAUACGACUAGGAAUCAACGUCUGAAACGCGAACAAAUACAAUGACAUAUGCUGAGCUAUGUAAGAAGCUAAUAUAAGAUAUGUGAAACCGGUUUUUAGAAUUCUUAUUCAUAUUACUGGUGUAAUCACAUCGAAUUUGUGUUUAUUACCUUUUUUUUUUUUUUUUUAAAUAUUGCCUUUUAAUGGUUUCUUUUAUAGUCAUCAAACAAAUCCGGGGCUUUUGACAGUUUUAGCAACAUGAGUAAUUUGAUAUUUCUCGAACAUAUAUGUAGUGGUAUUCUCAAAAUUCCCAGCUGUCGAUCAGUUUCAUUUUAUUUUAAUUUGAGAUGUUUGUGAAAUUUAGGUAUAGAUAUUUACCUAAAUCAAAAUGUUUAUCAUGUUUUAUUCCUUUAAGUGAAAAUCAAGUUAGCAGACAGUUGGAAUAUGUCCUUUUACAUAAAAGAAGUAACACUGAGAACAUAUCCCUUUAAAUAUCUAAGAGAUGGUAAAAAAAGAGGAAUCUACAAAUACAUAAAAGUAUAACAUAGACGAGACAGAGAUGUGUGUAUGAUGUAGACGACCUAUUGAAAGCCAGCCAUCUAUAAAAAGAAAACCUCAUGAAGUGGGUUUUUGGAUGUAAAACGGAUUACGCAUCUUAAGUUGCAUGUGUUCGUGAAAGAUUGGCGACUGAGGGACGACAUGCAAGGAUGAUGGAAGCUUUUGCAGUCUUUUCCAGAUACCAUUUGCUGGAAAAAAAUAUCGAUCCUCGAUUUUCUGUAAUAACAGUUGUCCUAGCAAACGGCUAGUUUUCUUUUAAAGCCCCGUAGUUUCUAUCAUCGUCACGAAUACAAACGGUCAUAUAACAGGAGUUAUUACGGUGAUGUAUCAUGAGCCAAACUAAAAUAAUCAUACCACUUUCGAUAAUUCUCGUUUCCGAAUACGUCAACGCUGGCAAUGAAUAUUCGUUUACAAUCGUAAAAUUCGGAUGUGUUUGCUGAUAAAAGAACCGGAGUUGAAAAUAAACAUCAAAUAACGUAGUUUGUUGGGAAUAAUUAAAAUCGAUAUUGCUGCAGGCUAAGGUCAUACACAAGAGGUAAUGUAGCACGGUAUAUUUGAAGGACUUUUAAGAACUUGCAUGCUUGUGUAGAAAGCAGCUAUCUAUUCCCUAUGUACAUGACGAUGCUCUUGUGUGUAAUUCUAUUUAUCGCUAAUUACAACAGUAAUACCUGCCUGAAUAUUAGGAUUUCCUGUUUUAGUUGUUAUAACUAUAUACUUCGUUUCAAUUUAGAUGUCAACGAGAAAAAUGUCGCACAAUGAAAAUCAGCAGAAUUUCUUUCUAGGAAAGGUCAACAUGUCUGUUUGAAAUAAGAAACGUACAGUCAUUUACCGUUAAGCCCUGGAUAGGUUAGAGAAUUGAUUCGAUUAGGAAUCUUUGUAUAAAUAAUAUUUAAAAUUUAAAAAUAUAUUGCCAUUGGAAACAUUUAACAAUUCGUUAAAUAUCCUCCAAACUUAGACAGAGUAAAUCAAAGUGUUUGAUUUUCAGGUCUCAAGCACAAACCAUAUGACAUCCGAUGUUAGAAUGUCACUAUCCCCGUAACGACACAUUCUAUAGGAUUAUUUUUCUCUUAUUAUUUAGAAGGGUGCUAUGAACGAAUUCGGAACGAAUGCAAGCUAUCGUCCGGUCUCAUGUUAAUCUGCACACGAGUUGCUGACGCCACGUCACUGGAGUAGUAAGCACAUGAUGCAAUGAUGAAACAUUACGUGUUAGUAUAUAUUUACGCUCUACCCAUACCGUCAAUGAUAUAUCAAUAUCCUACCAUGCAAGCAUUUACCCAUUAUAACCGGUAUGUAACAUGUGUAAUCCACCAAUGGAAAACAACAGUAUAGUUUCGUACCUUUGUUGUAAUCAUUUAAAAAAUAUGGGGUUAAAUCAAUCUUAAAAAAAUGCAUGAUAAGGUAUUCUGAAUUUCAAAUAUACAAAAAAUCUAAUAACGUGUUUUUACAUUUCAGAAUAUUUAAUUGUAUAGGUCUUACAUACGAAAGAAGCUUAUACAUGCUCUUUCCUUAAAAUAUAAACAGUGCAUACAUAUAAUGAAGUAGAAAUAUACAGCCUUAAAUAAAACUAUAGAAGUAUUGAUAUGAAAUUAUAUUAGGUAUUAUUGAAUCGCCAAUUGUUAUAAUUAAUAUGAAACAGUAUUCUAGUGGUAGGACGCCGGGCUUGUGACCGAAGGGUUGCGGGUUCGAGUCACGGCACGGCACUGUGUUGUAUC
This is an RNA transcript of Mizuhopecten yessoensis (Yesso scallop), 6507 nucleotides long. RefSeq lists it as uncharacterized. NCBI's taxonomy places the organism in Eukaryota, Metazoa, Mollusca, Bivalvia, Pectinida, Pectinidae. The record is from RefSeq and is a predicted model, not a curated record. The transcript is spliced from 2 exons.